UAAAAAUGAAAGUUAAGAAGACAAAAGAAGAUAAAGAGAGAGACAGAAAUCGAGCUGAGCUUUUGGAAUUUUUAAAUUCAGCCUUGUAACAGAGGUGGAACCAGACCAUUAAUCUGAUCAUCUGUACCUCUGAAAAUGUCAUACCAUUGGAUUACAGUGUCUCCACAAAUGUCAGUGAGCAUAAAAAGAAAUGUGUUAGAGCACUGAAAGCAGUGAAGUGGAAUGAGAAUGGAAAAGUGACCAUGGCAUGUUCCUGUCAGUAGAAAGAAACACUUUCUAAAAAGAUUUCAUUAUAGCAGGAAUUAGUAUAAAACUUAGAAAUUAAAUUUGAAUGCAUUUUGUCUUGUCUGUAAACUUAAAUUUCAAGGCAAAUGCAAUAACAGCUAGUUAAUUGUUAGACCUCCUUAGUUAGAAGACAAGUCAUUUUGUGCCAUUGUGAGUAUAUAGUGGGUAUUUUCAAUGAGACCUGUUUCUAAACCAGUUUUUCUGUUGCCUCAGAAAUUAAAAUUUCAAAGAACAGAUAGAAGGCAGGCAUUUAGCACAUGGAUAGGCACUUAGCACUAAGAAGCGGUGUUGUACACAGUAAAGUACUCACAAAUCAAAAUUUUGGUCACUAGAGAUAUCUAUGGCAAUGUUUAUAUUUAAAAAAAAAUGCAUAUAUAUGUAUUUGUCUUUUACUUGAUCCCUUUUCACCAUUACAGUGGCUGUAUCCUGCUUACA
Molecule: long non-coding RNA, 720 nt
Organism: Protopterus annectens (West African lungfish)
Lineage: Eukaryota; Metazoa; Chordata; Ceratodontiformes; Protopteridae
Exons: 2
Source: RefSeq, a predicted model, not a curated record